UACGUAGGGUGCGAGCGUUGUCCGGAAUUAUUGGGCGUAAAGGGCUCGUAGGCGGUCUGUUGCGUCAGGAGUGAAAACUCGGGGCUUAACCCCGAGCCUGCUUCUGAUACGGGCAGACUAGAGGUAUGCAGGGGAGAACGGAAUUCCUGGUGUAGCGGUGAAAUGCGCAGAUAUCAGGAGGAACACCAGUGGCGAAGGCGGGUCCCUGGACAACACCUGACACUGAGGCACGAAAGCUAGGGGAGCAAACAGG
This 253-nucleotide ribosomal RNA is filed under the name uncultured bacterium. RNAcentral's name for it is "partial 16S ribosomal RNA". It matches the Rfam family "Bacterial small subunit ribosomal RNA", at positions 524 to 776 of the family's 1533-position model. The record is from RNAcentral.